GUGGCCCUUCGAGGACCGGUGAAAUUCCGGUACCGGCGGUAAAAGUCCGCAACCCUUGGCCCGCAACCAGGGUGGAGCUGGUGGAAUUCCAGCACCGACGGUUCAUAGUCCGGACGGGAGUUGGGCAUG
RNAcentral lists this non-coding RNA (129 nucleotides) under Coprothermobacter proteolyticus. Its description in RNAcentral is "FMN sequence". It matches the Rfam family "FMN riboswitch aptamer (RFN element)". From Rfam's summary of the family: The RFN element is a highly conserved domain that is found frequently in the 5'-untranslated regions of prokaryotic mRNAs that encode for flavin mononucleotide (FMN) biosynthesis and transport proteins. This element is a metabolite-dependent riboswitch that directly binds FMN in the absence of proteins. RNAcentral also lists the same sequence under 1 other name. Lineage: Bacteria; Pseudomonadati; Coprothermobacterota; Coprothermobacteria; Coprothermobacterales; Coprothermobacteraceae. The record is from RNAcentral.